RNAcentral lists this ribosomal RNA (1760 nucleotides) under Salmonella enterica subsp. enterica serovar Enteritidis. RNAcentral's name for it is "partial 23S ribosomal RNA". It matches the Rfam family "Bacterial large subunit ribosomal RNA", at positions 1200 to 2925 of the family's 2925-position model. The record is from RNAcentral. Lineage: Bacteria; Pseudomonadati; Pseudomonadota; Gammaproteobacteria; Enterobacterales; Enterobacteriaceae.
CUGCGGCAGCGACACUGUGUGUUGUUGGGUAGGGGAGCGUUCUGUAAGCCUGUGAAGGUGUGUCGUGAGGCAUGCUGGAGGUAUCAGAAGUGCGAAUGCUGACAUAAGUAACGAUAAAGCGGGUGAAAAGCCCGCUCGCCGGAAGACCAAGGGUUCCUGUCCAACGUUAAUCGGGGCAGGGUGAGUCGACCCCUAAGGCGAGGCCGAAAGGCGUAGUCGAUGGGAAACGGGUUAAUAUUCCCGUACUUGGUGUUACUGCGAAGGGGGGACGGAGAAGGCUAUGUUGGCCGGGCGACGGUUGUCCCGGUUUAAGCGUGUAGGUGUGUGUUCCAGGUAAAUCCGGUUCACUUUAACACUGAGGCGUGACGACGAGGCACUACGGUGCUGAAGCAACAAAUGCCCUGCUUCCAGGAAAAGCCUCUAAGCAUCAGGUAACAUCAAAUCGUACCCCAAACCGACACAGGUGGUCAGGUAGAGAAUACCAAGGCGCUUGAGAGAACUCGGGUGAAGGAACUAGGCAAAAUGGUGCCGUAACUUCGGGAGAAGGCACGCUGACACGUAGGUGAAGUGAUUUACUCAUGGAGCUGAAGUCAGUCGAAGAUACCAGCUGGCUGCAACUGUUUAUUAAAAACACAGCACUGUGCAAACACGAAAGUGGACGUAUACGGUGUGACGCCUGCCCGGUGCCGGAAGGUUAAUUGAUGGGGUCAGCGCAAGCGAAGCUCCUGAUCGAAGCCCCGGUAAACGGCGGCCGUAACUAUAACGGUCCUAAGGUAGCGAAAUUCCUUGUCGGGUAAGUUCCGACCUGCACGAAUGGCGUAAUGAUGGCCAGGCUGUCUCCACCCGAGACUCAGUGAAAUUGAACUCGCUGUGAAGAUGCAGUGUACCCGCGGCAAGACGGAAAGACCCCGUGAACCUUUACUAUAGCUUGACACUGAACAUUGAGCCUUGAUGUGUAGGAUAGGUGGGAGGCUUUGAAGUGUGGACGCCAGUCUGCAUGGAGCCGACCUUGAAAUACCACCCUUUAAUGUUUGAUGUUCUAACGUGGACCCGUUACCCGGGUUGCGGACAGUGUCUGGUGGGUAGUUUGACUGGGGCGGUCUCCUCCUAAAGAGUAACGGAGGAGCACGAAGGUUGGCUAAUCCUGGUCGGACAUCAGGAGGUUAGUGCAAUGGCAUAAGCCAGCUUGACUGCGAGCGUGACGGCGCGAGCAGGUGCGAAAGCAGGUCAUAGUGAUCCGGUGGUUCUGAAUGGAAGGGCCAUCGCUCAACGGAUAAAAGGUACUCCGGGGAUAACAGGCUGAUACCGCCCAAGAGUUCAUAUCGACGGCGGUGUUUGGCACCUCGAUGUCGGCUCAUCACAUCCUGGGGCUGAAGUAGGUCCCAAGGGUAUGGCUGUUCGCCAUUUAAAGUGGUACGCGAGCUGGGUUUAGAACGUCGUGAGACAGUUCGGUCCCUAUCUGCCGUGGGCGCUGGAGAACUGAGGGGGGCUGCUCCUAGUACGAGAGGACCGGAGUGGACGCAUCACUGGUGUUCGGGUUGUCAUGCCAAUGGCACUGCCCGGUAGCUAAAUGCGGAAGAGAUAAGUGCUGAAAGCAUCUAAGCACGAAACUUGCCCCGAGAUGAGUUCUCCCUGAGACUUAGAGUCUCCUGAAGGAACGUUGAAGACGACGACGUUGAUAGGCCGGGUGUGUAAGCGCAGCGAUGCGUUGAGCUAACCGGUACUAAUGAACCGUGAGGCUUAACCUUACAACGCCGAAG